AUCCAGCUGACCAGUCCCGAGUAGGUCGAAACGCGCGUCAAACUGGAU
Molecule: non-coding RNA, 48 nt
Organism: Schistosoma mansoni
Lineage: Eukaryota; Metazoa; Platyhelminthes; Trematoda; Strigeidida; Schistosomatidae
Source: Rfam